This 407-nucleotide long non-coding RNA is filed under the name Sorghum bicolor (sorghum). RNAcentral describes it as "long non-coding RNA (SBIC_LNC008720)". The record is from RNAcentral. Lineage: Eukaryota; Viridiplantae; Streptophyta; Magnoliopsida; Poales; Poaceae.
AUAUGCAACAUCUUCCCAAUCUAUUGGUCUCUCCGACAUCACCACACUUGAGAUCUCCAACCCCCUCUUCCUUUCUAUUUAUAAAAACUUUAAAAGGGCGGUUGUCGAUGCAUAUGUCUAUAAUAAAUAUUGCAGAUCUCGUUGAGUUGAUCUAGAUAUAGGUUGGCGUCGGAGGGGAAACCACUUUGCCAACAUAAACUGAUGGUUUCCCAAGGACAAGCUUAGUGUCUUAAAAUAAGCAUUGAUCAGAUCGUAACAUGAGCCUUUAAUUAUUUGCAACAUUACCUUGUGUAUUGAGCAUAUAAGGAUAAUUGUAAAAAAAAAAUAUUCCUUCGGGUAUUCUUGUCACUAACCUUUCUAGGAUUGGAGCAAGAAGAUCGGAUGAAUGACAAGCACAAGGUAUGUCC